GUAAAAUAUGUAACCUGAAACCCGACAAGCAUGUUAAUUUCCUUGCAAGCCUCCCAGAUGUCCUCACUUUAUGGCCAACGCUCAGUUUCAGUUUCAAUUUGUUUAUUUGCCCUUCUUCAGUCACAAAUGUGGAGCUGAAAAUACUGGAAGAGAGGAGAGAAAGCAAAGAAAAACGAGAAAAGGAGGGCUUGUGUUUUCCUCCUGGGAUGUAAGCAGUCAGGAGAAAGCUAAGAGGCUUGGACUUCUUAGAAAGAUAUGGAGGUCAUUGCCGGAGGAGGGAGCAGAACCAGUGACCACCUUUGCUGACUGAGACCAUUUCUCUUGGGACUGAUUUCCACAGGCCACUUCCAGAGCCAGAUGCCGAAUGACCAAGUUGGGGGCCCAAAGGGAGGAGGGGAGUUCACUGAACUGAAUUGUAGAGGCUGCAGUGCUCCUGGUAUAGGCACAAAAACAGCAGCGGGUACGAUCAACAGCUUUUCUGCAAACUUGAAGAUUCUGUCACAUUUCUCCUCCUCCUAAAUUCUAAUAAUAACUGUCUAGAAUGACAGUUUGGUGACAAGGCUAAAUUCCAGUCCUGGCUCGGCCACUCCCUCGGUGUUUGAUUGGAAGCCUAUGCUUGUCCCUCUCUGGGCCUCAGUGUCCCUGUCUGUCAGCAGUGAGGUUGGAGUCUGAGGACCUCUGAGUCCAAAUGACUUUUGCAGCUGGCUCCAACAUGGGCCACAGCACUGAUAUUCUCACAGGCACGGCAAGCUGAGCUCGGCACUGGGGGAGGAGCGUUUUUCCACACAGCAAUUCUCACUGUGAGGACUUGUUUCUCGCCUCCACUCCUCCUGUUGUCCUGGGGAUGCUUUGUUUGUUGUGGCUCUCCUCAGAUGCACUACAAGUCGUCCUUGAUAUUGCAGCCUUGGGCCACGUUCUCUCCCAGGGAAUCUCACCCGAGUCCAAGCUAACUUCCAGUCACUUCCUUAAACCCAGCAACCAAGCCUCAGAUGGAGCGGAGACCUGGAGGAACUUGGCAGAGAUCUUCCCUUUGGCUCUUACCUGAGCUGUUCACAAGGGAAGAUGCACAAUGUUUUCCUCUGCCAACAUUAUGACAACUUAGGAAGCAUCCCAGUCCUGGUGCUCGGCAUCCUCAAGCCGCCUUCCUCUCGAGAGUCCAGGUUUUGAAGUUAGAGUUCAACAUCACUUGCCAGCCCAUGCUGAUUUCCUCUCCCGUUGCAGCCCCUGCUUCCUGCUCAGCACUGUAUACCUCUUGCCCCCACUUCCCGAUCACUCUUCACACACAUGUCCCUGUGACCUGAUUCCUUUGAGGGUCUGUUCAGAUGUUAUGUCCCAGGCUUGCCUCUGACAGCUCUGUAUGAAUAGCAACCCUCCACACAUCCCUCCUUACCCCCCUCCCGGUUUGGUCUGUCAGACUGUCACCAUCAGACUGAUGUAUUUACCUGCAUUUAACCCUUUCUCAAACAU
This is a long non-coding RNA of Neofelis nebulosa (Clouded leopard), 1467 nucleotides long. RefSeq lists it as uncharacterized. NCBI's taxonomy places the organism in Eukaryota, Metazoa, Chordata, Mammalia, Carnivora, Felidae. The transcript has 2 exons. The record is from RefSeq and is a predicted model, not a curated record.